GGUUUUGCUGUUAAUCACAUCCAGGACUGAACCAUGUUCAUUGACGUCUCUUUCUGCUGAUGUCAGUAAACUCCAGGUUUGCAAUUCGAUUUGUGUUGGAUAUUGAAGCGAAUCUGAUUUCAAAAUGAGGACAUUAAAUCCAGGAAUUAAUCCUGAGGAAAAUGGAUCACACUGUUUGGAAGGAUGUGGAGCUGAGAAGCGGAAGCUGUGAAUGAAGUUAUUGAUGAUUGAAUGGAUAGCAUUGGGUACUUGUUUAACAUCAUGGCCGUGUGGUUAAGUAGAUGGUUUUAAAAUUCAUUGGGGUUUCAUCAGAUGCAGCCAGACCAGCUGAAUCUUUCCACACUGUUUUUAUUUCGGAUUUCCAGCAUCUGCAGUAUUUUUCCUUUAUACUUGUGAACUGGUUGGUGUCUUUGCAGCGUGGAUGAACGACCAAAUGACUUGCCACACUCAGAAUAUGAGAACAGCCUCUCCCCUGUGUAAAUUCACUAGUGUAGAGUGAGGUCAGAUGAUUUCCUGAAUCCAGACCCACAAUGAGAGCACCUUAAUGGUCAUUUGUGAGUGUGAACACAUUGAUGCGACAACAGUUCUCUGAAACAUUUCUAACACUGGCUGCAAUCUGGGCAUUUAAAAGGCCACAUCAGUGUGAACUUGCUGGUGUGUCUGCAGAUGGGACAACUGAGUGAAUAUCUUUCCACACUUGGAGCAGGUGAAUGGUCUCUCCCCAGUGUGACUGCACUUGUCGAAUAUGGUCCCUUGACUGCCUGCACCCAAUCCCACAGUAAACCAUCUGAAUGGUCUCUGGUCAGUGUGGGCACUUUGGUGGGACAUCAAUUCCCCACAGCUUUGAAAGCACUUCUCACACUCUGGGCAUUACAAACGUCUCUCGUCAGUGUGAAUGCGCUGGUAUCUCAGCGGGUGGAAUGAUGUCCUGAACCUCUUACCACACUGUGAGCAGAUGAACAGCCUCUCCCCAGUGUGAAUUCACUGUUUCAGCAGGUCAGUCCAGGAUAGAAAUUGAGAAGAAGACAAACAUUUCUCUUGGUUUGAGUUUGCUGAAUGUAAAUCCUCCCCUUCUAACCCCCUGUAAAAGGAGUUUCCAAACACUCGGUGUGAACUCAGCUCCGGGAGUUUCUAAUCCGGGUGUGGAGUCCUACACCGGGUGUUUGUGAACCCUCCCAGUCCACCCUCAGCUCCAUUCCUCUCCUGCACUCGGCCCUUUCUCACCCGCUGGACUGUCACCCGACAGUUUCCAUCCAGGUUAAAAGCAAAAAACUGCGGAUGCUGGAAAUCCAAAACAAAAACAAAAAUCCCCAGAAAAACUCAGCAUGACUCUCAUGCGGACUCGGAACGUUAACUAUGCUCCUCUCCGCAGAUGCUGCCAGAGUUUUUCCAGGUGUUUUUGUUUUGAGUUUCCAUCCAGGUCCCGCACCAUCACUGCGCAUGCUCCACACACCCGGCUCCGCCCCUUCAUUCAUUCCGAUUGGCUGGAGGACCAGUCGGUCCCGCACCAUCAGUCACCCCCGCCCCCUCUUCCUAUUGGCCCAGAGCUGCUGUCAGUCAUUAUGAGUUGGAGCAUGCGCGGUCCGUGGAGGCAGACGGGGAGACAGCUCGAGCGAACGGAUUUAAAAUGAGGAUUUUAGAAAGAACGAGUGCGGACCCAGAGCCGAAAACAAACCCAUGAACAGAGAGAAGGCUGGUGGGUGAGAAAGAAGGGGAAUGGGAAUUGGUGGAGAAUCGAGAGUUCCCGAAUGUUACCCCUCCCGCCUGGUACAGAAAUUCCCUCGGCACGGGAAUGGAGACAAGUUCAAUCCAAGUAAUGGACUGGUGUUAGAAAGCGAGGAUUUGCAGUUGGGAAACUCAAUCCAAACAUCAUAUCAGGAUCUGAUGCAGUCGCCCAAUUUAUCGUAACCUGAAUGUCGUUGGAUUUUGAACAUGGAAGGAAAAAGCACCGUUCACAGUGGGGAGAAAUCGUACACGUGUUCUGUGUGUGGACGAGGCUUCAGCCGAUCAUCUGGCCCAGUCAGAACAUAAAUGCAGUUACAAUGAGGAGAAACCAUGGAAAUGUGGAGACUGUGGAAAAGGAUUCAAUUACCCAUCUGACCUGGAAACACAUCGGCGCAGUCACACUGGGGAGAGACCGUUCACCUGCCCUGAGUGUGGGAAGGGAUUCACUACCUCCUCCCACCUGCUGACACACCAGCGAGUUCACACUGGGGAGAGGCCAUUCACCUGCCCUGACUGUGGGAAGGGAUUCAUUGAUUCAUCCAACCUGCGGAAUCACCUGGAAAUUCACACUAGCCAGAGGCUGUUCACCUGCUCCAAGUGUGGAAAGAGAUUCAUUCAGUCAUCCCACUUGCUGAAACAUCAGCGAACUCACAGUGGGGAGAGACCUUUUAAAUGUCCAGAUUGCGGAAGUGCUAUAAAAGCUCCAGAGACCUGAUGUCCCAUCAGCGAGUUCACACUGACGAGAGACCUUUUAAAUGUCCAGACUGCGGGAAGUGUUUUAAAAGUUCUGGGGAAGUGAUGUUCCAUCAACGUGUUCACACUGAUGAGAGACCAUUCAGGUGUUCUCACUGUGGGGCUGGGUUCAGGCUAUCAUCUAACCUCACUGUACACCAGCGAGUUCACACUGGGGAGAGGCCGUUCACCUGUUCUGAGUGUGGGAAGAGAUUCACUCAGUCAUUCCACCUGCUGACACAUCAGCGAGUUCACACCGGGGA
Molecule: long non-coding RNA, 2720 nt
Organism: Carcharodon carcharias (great white shark)
Lineage: Eukaryota; Metazoa; Chordata; Chondrichthyes; Lamniformes; Lamnidae
Exons: 5
Source: RefSeq, a predicted model, not a curated record